Pongo pygmaeus (Bornean orangutan) is the source of this 2742-nucleotide long non-coding RNA. RefSeq lists it as uncharacterized. The record is from RefSeq and is a predicted model, not a curated record. NCBI's taxonomy places the organism in Eukaryota, Metazoa, Chordata, Mammalia, Primates, Hominidae. The transcript has 3 exons.
GGGCCGAGAAGCUGAGAGGGGACAGCGCUGGGGCCCCCAUCCUCCCGCUGCACGCCCAGCGCCCCGGGCUCCACCCCACCCCGAGGACGGGAGGCAGCUCCUCACCUGCAGGCCAGGGGACCCCAAGAGGACCAUGACCUCAUCGAUGAGACCCAGCAGGGACACAAACACGGGGUCCCGGUAGUCAAACCGGCGGCCGAAGAGGAGCGCGAAGGUGAUGUUGGAGGGAGCCCAGCCCAGUAGGGCCAGCGGGAAGGGCCGGCCUGUAAGGGAGACGGGCCUCAGGCACAUCCAGGCCCGGGGAGGGGCGUCCCCGGCCCCCUGCUCACCUCUGUAGCUGUCCAGUUGCCCCAAGAGGCAUUUCAGCUCCUGCAGAAUCUUGUCAGCCACCGGCUCCCGGCCCACGCCCAGGCUGUGCAAGGCACGCACUGUGAACUGGCGGGCAGCCCUCCAGCGCGCCCCGGAUGAGAAGAAGAUGCCUGUGGGCAGACACAGUGCCCGGUGAGCCCAGGUUCCCACCCCAGCCAGCCCCACCGGGCGAGUGGGCAGAAAGUGAGCAGGCUGACCUCGGGGCAGCGAGACUGGCUGGGCCCUCACCCCCAUCCCCACUCCCGUCCCCCUGGGCUGGCCCCGGCCCCUCUUGACUUGGGAUGAAAAGACCCCGGCUUGCUGGUCCUGAGCACCUGACCUGCUGUGUGGACACCUGGCCCUCCUCAGCACCAGCCCAGAGGCCCAGGUCCUGCCUGCUCUGCCCCUGGGAGCCUCUCCCGCUGCUGGAGCCCCCACCCCUCCUGGGAUCCAGGUGCCCCCACACCCAGCAGGCCCCUGCAGCGCCGGCCACACACUGACCUCCACCUCGCUGGAUGAGCUGGAAGAUGGCGAUGGGAGGCCGGUCGGCCAGCUCCUGCCCGGGGCCCACCAGCGCCUCUUUGACCGCCUUGAACCCUGUCAGCACCACCGUCUUCUGGCGCCCCAGGUGCACGGUGAACACUGGCCCAUAGCGUUCUGAGAGCUGGCAGGGAUGGCGGGGGUCACCCGGGCAGCCCUCACCCACAAGGCCCCCCCUUAGGUCCCCCCAGGCCGGGCCUGUGCUGGGUAGGGGUGGGACAGAGGGAAGAUGGGGGCAGGUGGAGGGGGGACGCCUAGAUGCCAUAAAGCCGGUGGUGCAGGGUGGAGGGGGCAGCGUCCAGCCUGGAGCCCACAGAGCCCCCUCGCCAUCUGGUGCUUGGCAUGGCUGUUGUGGGAUUUUCUUUUUAGCCAAAAUUCCUGGGGGGCUCAAGCCCUGAGUCCAGGCGGCAAGGUUGGGGGUUGGCUGGCUGCUGGGGUGGCACAUUCUGAAAGGCCAGAGUCUACACAGAGUGAGGGCCUGACAGGCUCGGCCCCCAGAGACCCUGAUCCGUCCUCGGCUGCAGCCCAGCCAGCAGCACCCCAGCCCGCAGUUGGGGGCAGCCAGAGACAGGACCCGGGCCCGACUGUUCAGUCCUGUCCCACUGACCCUGCCUGCCUGAGCGAGGACAGAGCGACAGUGCCGGUCAGGCUGCCCCGUGCCGUGUACCCGCACCCUCUGUCCUCAGCAUCCCUGCCCAGGAGGCACGGGUCCUCUUCCCAUCUCACAGAUGAGGAAACAGAGGCUCAAAAGUGGGAAGUGUUUGCUGUUGAACACCUGAGGGCCGAGGGAGGCUGAGCAGGCAGCCGACAGGCCCAGGCCCUCCUCCCCUGUGCUGUCCCUAAGCCCGGCCUCCUGUGGGCUCUCAGCAGAUGCUACCUCCUCCAGGGAGCCCUCCAGACUCCUGCUCCCGGGCUGGACCCUGGGUGGCACCUCCAGGGCCUCUUCGUACUCAGUGUGUCUGCUUCCCUGUGGGACGGGGCGGCUUUCCCUUCCCCAAAGCAGGGUGGGCCCUCCGGCUUCCUGCUGGGCCCGGCACCAUGUGGGAAUAGGCAGUGGAAACGGCUGGGCUUCCCCAGGAGAGGGGCCAGGACAUGGCAGCUGUCCAGGCGGCAAGAGCUGCCCGGGCUCCCUGACCUACCUCCAUCAGGGACCGGUCCUGUUGCGACAGACGCAGCAAGUGCAGGUUCCCGAUGAGCGGCAGCGGGCGAGGCCCCGGGGGCCACCGGGCGGCUGGGGAGGGGUCUCGGGCGCAGGCGCGGAGCAGCCCCCAGAGCCCCAGGAGGCCCAGGAGCAGCAAGAGCAGCAGGGCCAUGAGGACGUGGCUGUGGACCUCCAGCGCCCUGCAGAGACGUGUGCCGACUGCAGCCUGGCUACUCAAGUGGAACCUGGGACUGUUCUGAUCAGACCUGAUUGGUCCAGCCCUGCCAGUCAGAUACUCAGCCCUGAGCCAUCUCUGUGACCAGGAGGAAUGCAGUGCUCUGAUUGGCUGGCUCAGGUCCUGCCUGCCCCUGACAUCAGAGGCAGGGUGGGUGAGGAGGGCUUGUGGUCUUCCCACUUUGGGACACAAAGGAGCAGAGGCCAGAAGCCAUGUUUGCUCAUUCCACCUGUGGAGUUUCACGGGAAGCUUUUGCAGUGCACUGGAGAUCCACCAGACAUCAAAAAGGAACCGUCCCUUGGCUCAGUGACCCGGUUUCCAGAAAUUUAGUUUAAGGCAUCCUUGCAACUGUGUGAAAAGAAGUGUGAGCCCUGCCUCAGUGACUGGGCGUGCCCCCUGGAAGAAUGUCCUGGAGACUGAGCAGGCAUGGCGCAGGUGCCCACGGCUCUUGCUUGAAUCCCUGCAUUUUUUUUUUUUU